RNAcentral lists this ribosomal RNA (253 nucleotides) under uncultured bacterium. RNAcentral's name for it is "partial 16S ribosomal RNA". It matches the Rfam family "Bacterial small subunit ribosomal RNA", at positions 524 to 776 of the family's 1533-position model. The record is from RNAcentral.
UACAGAGGGGGCAAGCGUUGUUCGGAAUUACUGGGCGUAAAGGGCGCGUAGGCGGCCUGUUAAGUCGAACGUGAAAUCCCCGGGCUCAACCCGGGAACUGCGUCCGAUACUGGCAGGCUUGAAUCCGGGAGAGGGAUGCGGAAUUCCUGGUGUAGCGGUGAAAUGCGCAGAUAUCAGGAAGAACACCCGUGGCUAAGGCGGCUCUCUAGUACGGUACUGACGCUGAGACGCGAAAGCGUGGGGAGCGAACAGG